RNAcentral lists this ribosomal RNA (468 nucleotides) under uncultured bacterium. Its description in RNAcentral is "partial 16S ribosomal RNA". It matches the Rfam family "Bacterial small subunit ribosomal RNA", at positions 28 to 507 of the family's 1533-position model. The record is from RNAcentral.
GACGAACGCUGGCGGCGUGCUUAACACAUGCAAGUCGAACGGAAAGGCCCUGCUUUUGUGGGGUGCUCGAGUGGCGAACGGGUGAGUAACACGUGAGUAACCUGCCCUUGACUUUGGGAUAACUUCAGGAAACUGGGGCUAAUACCGGAUAGGAGCUCCUGCUGCAUGGUGGGGGUUGGAAAGUUUCGGCGGGUGGGGAUGGACUCGCGGCUUAUCGGCUUGUUGGUGGGGUAGUGGCUUACCAAGGAUUUGACGGGUAGCCGGCCUGAGAGGGUGAACGGCCACAUUGGGACUGAGAUACGGCCCAGACUCCUACGGGAGGCAGCAGUGGGGAAUAUUGCACAAUGGGCGGAAGCCUGAUGCAGCAACGCCGCGUGCGGGAUGACGGCCUUCGGGUUGUAAACCGCUUUCGCCUGUGACGAAGCGUGAGUGACGGUAAUGGGUAAAGAAGCACCGGCUAACUACGUG